AGAGUGAACGCUGGCGAUAGGCCUAACACAUGCAAGUCGAACGGCAGCACAGUGGUAGCAAUACCAUGGGUGGCGAGUGGCGGACGGGUGAGGAAUACAUCGGAAUCUACCUUUUCGUGGGGGAUAACGUAGGGAAACUUACGCUAAUACCGCAUACGCCCGUUCGGGGGAAAGCCGGGGAUCGCAAGACCUGGCGCGGAUAGAUGAGCCGAUGUCGGAUUAGCUAGUUGGUGAGGUAAUGGCUCACCAAGGCGACGAUCCGUAGCUGGUCUGAGAGGAUGAUCAGCCACACUGGAACCUGGAGACACGGGUCCAGACU
This 319-nucleotide ribosomal RNA is filed under the name uncultured soil bacterium. Its description in RNAcentral is "bacterial SSU rRNA". It matches the Rfam family "Bacterial small subunit ribosomal RNA", at positions 26 to 337 of the family's 1533-position model. The record is from RNAcentral.